This 940-nucleotide ribosomal RNA is filed under the name Pseudomonas sp. PS4(2012). RNAcentral describes it as "bacterial SSU rRNA". It matches the Rfam family "Bacterial small subunit ribosomal RNA", at positions 34 to 967 of the family's 1533-position model. The record is from RNAcentral. Lineage: Bacteria; Pseudomonadati; Pseudomonadota; Gammaproteobacteria; Pseudomonadales; Pseudomonadaceae.
CGGCUGGCGGCAGGCCUAACACAUGCAAGUCGAAGCGGAUGACAGGAGCUUGCUCCUGAAUUCAGCGGCGGACGGGUGAGUAAUGCCUAGGAAUCUGCCUGGUAGUGGGGGACAACGUUUCGAAAGGAACGCUAAUACCGCAUACGUCCUACGGGAGAAAGCAGGGGACCUUCGGGCCUUGCGCUAUCAGAUGAGCCUAGGUCGGAUUAGCUAGUUGGUGAGGUAAUGGCUCACCAAGGCGACGAUCCGUAACUGGUCUGAGAGGAUGAUCAGUCACACUGGAACUGAGACACGGUCCAGACUCCUACGGGAGGCAGCAGUGGGGAAUAUUGGACAAUGGGCGAAAGCCUGAUCCAGCCAUGCCGCGUGUGUGAAGAAGGUCUUCGGAUUGUAAAGCACUUUAAGUUGGGAGGAAGGGCAGUAACUUAAUACGUUGCUGUUUUGACGUUACCGACAGAAUAAGCACCGGCUAACUCUGUGCCAGCAGCCGCGGUAAUACAGAGGGUGCAAGCGUUAAUCGGAAUUACUGGGCGUAAAGCGCGCGUAGGUGGUUUGUUAAGUUGGAUGUGAAAGCCCCGGGCUCAACCUGGGAACUGCAUUCAAAACUGACAAGCUAGAGUAUGGUAGAGGGUGGUGGAAUUUCCUGUGUAGCGGUGAAAUGCGUAGAUAUAGGAAGGAACACCAGUGGCGAAGGCGACCACCUGGACUGAUACUGACACUGAGGUGCGAAAGCGUGGGGAGCAAACAGGAUUAGAUACCCUGGUAGUCCACGCCGUAAACGAUGUCAACUAGCCGUUGGGAGCCUUGAGCUCUUAGUGGCGCAGCUAACGCAUUAAGUUGACCGCCUGGGGAGUACGGCCGCAAGGUUAAACUCAAAUGAAUUGACGGGGGCCCGCACAAGCGGUGGAGCAUGUGGUUAAAUUCGAAGCAACGACGAAGG